RNAcentral lists this small nuclear RNA (113 nucleotides) under Carlito syrichta (Philippine tarsier). RNAcentral describes it as "U5 spliceosomal RNA (ENSTSYG00000024328.2)". It matches the Rfam family "U5 spliceosomal RNA". From Rfam's summary of the family: U5 RNA is a component of both types of known spliceosome. The precise function of this molecule is unknown, though it is known that the 5' loop is required for splice site selection and p220 binding, and that both the 3' stem-loop and the Sm site are important for Sm protein binding and cap methylation. The record is from RNAcentral. Lineage: Eukaryota; Metazoa; Chordata; Mammalia; Primates; Tarsiidae.
UUACUGGUUUCUCUUCAGAGUGUAUACGUCUUUCACCUUUUACUAAAAAUUUCAUGGAGAGGAACAACUCAGAGUCUAAAACCAAUUUUUUGAGGUCUUGUUUUGGCAAGGCU